Molecule: ribosomal RNA, 453 nt
Filed under: uncultured bacterium
Lineage: Bacteria
Description: bacterial SSU rRNA
Rfam family: Bacterial small subunit ribosomal RNA
Source: RNAcentral
GAUGAACGCUGGCGGCGUGCUUAACACAUGCAAGUCGAACGAACCUUCGGGUUAGUGGCGGACGGGUGAGUAACGCGUGGGAAUCUGCCCUCAGGAGGGGGAUAACAGUUGGAAACGACUGCUAAUACCCCAUAUGCCGUGAGGUGAAAGGAAUUUCGCCUGAGGAUGAGCCCGCGUCUGAUUAGCUAGUUGGUGUGGUAAGAGCGCACCAAGGCAUCGAUCAGUAGCUGGUCUGAGAGGAUGAUCAGCCACACUGGGACUGAGACACGGCCCAGACUCCUACGGGAGGCAGCAGUGGGGAAUUUUCCGCAAUGGGCGAAAGCCUGACGGAGCAACGCCGCGUGAGGGAAGAAGGCCUCUGGGCUGUAAACCUCUUUUCUCAAGGAAGAAGAUCUGACGGUACUUGAGGAAUAAGCCACGGCUAAUUCCGUGCCAGCAGCCGCCGGGUAACAC